CCAGGAAGUGUUUCCUGUAUUUUUUUUUUAUUGAAGGACAGCGCCUGCCAAUCAUCUAUCGUGACAACUAGUGGCACGCCUAUCAAGCGUCCAAUGCUGUGAAGCGUCGCGACCCCUCGCGUGCGAAAACCCCCCUGUGGACAAGUACUCCGGCGAUGACGAAGAUACGGCGCAUUCAGGCAGGACAGGAGAGGCGUCAAGCGGCAGAGGACCGACAGGAAGGUCGGGCAUUAGAGAGGCAGCGACAGUGUGUAGAACCAGAAUAUUUUUCAUAUCUAACUCAGUGGAUUAAGGAUUUAUUUCGACCAAACCAGAGUUGGUGAUUAUUGGAUCAGUUUAAAGACUAACCAAAACGGUUUUGGUCUAAGUAGGUCCUCCCGAGACAUCCUGAAGGGUUUCCAUGUCAGAUGGGAAGUAUGGAUUCCUCCAGUCAGUCCUGCAUGCACCUGGGCUCUCCUCCCAGGUCGACAUUCCCAGAAUACCUACAAAGGGAGGCGUCCCAUGGAGCCACCUUCAGAUGUCUGAACCACCUCAACUAGCUCCUUUCAACAUGAAGGUGCAAUUCUGCUCUGAGAUCCCACUUGCUAUCUGAGCUUCUUGGAUUUUCUCCAACACCAUGUGCCUAAGGCCUCGUUCAGACCAACUUUAGCCCUGUGUGAAAAAACGCAGACCCCUCAUUCAUUUGAAAGAGGCUAGUCUGGUAACACAGUGGGCAUGCUGAUGCAGAGGGGUCUGGCAAAAAACCACAGGGCAAAAAAGUUGAACCAGCCUCAACUUUUGCUGGACAGCAAUGCGACACUAAGCACUGCGGUGAUCAAUCAAAUACGUGCAAGCACACAUUCCUGUUAGAGUACUUUGUGAUGUGAAUGCCGUAUUUCUUCUGUUUACCCGGUAAAUUGUCGUGAAAAAACACAAAAUAAUUGCUGCCGUGAUAACUUUCCAGAGCAGCACAAUCCUGUGGACAUGGACAAUCCGGUCCAUGUGCAAGUCUUCAAACUGAACGUCCUGGCUUUCAUGUCUCACCGGUACCUGAAGCAACACACCCUCACAAAUGUAGGCCCUUGAGUUGUUUUAAUGCAAGACACCUGCUAACACUGGCCCCGUAGCUACCGGAGCAAGCAGCAGCUUCAAUCCUCCGUUGGUGUCUACAUUGGAUACAUUCAGCCACAGUACUAGUGAUGUAUCAGUCGUGAAGGAUGGGAGCCUGCUCAUGACUAAGAGCCACCCCCCGCCCCCGGAAAAAGAAAUGAACGACACUUCUUUUGAACAGUGCAGAAAUAUUUUUUGUUUAAUAUUAGGCCUAUAUCACACAAAUUAAAUUGAAAUGUGUCUGUA
Molecule: long non-coding RNA, 1335 nt
Organism: Siniperca chuatsi (mandarin fish)
Lineage: Eukaryota; Metazoa; Chordata; Actinopteri; Centrarchiformes; Sinipercidae
Exons: 2
Source: RefSeq, a predicted model, not a curated record